Long non-coding RNA from Bos taurus (domestic cattle), 1434 nucleotides. The record is from Ensembl. Lineage: Eukaryota; Metazoa; Chordata; Mammalia; Artiodactyla; Bovidae.
GUGCCCGCCAGAGUCUCCAGUGGAGAGCAGUAGAGAAACGUAAGCGUGGUGGCUAGAGAGGAGUCUUAGGGAAAGACCCGGAACUCUUAAUGUCGUACCUGACGCCUGCGCAAUGAGAACAGCGCCUCCUGGUGCGCGGAGGACUGACGGUGAUGCAGCUUCAGGGAAUCUUGAUUUCUGUCUGCUCCCAGGAAUUCUAGAAACCAUCAUCAUCAUCGUCAUUGUCAUUAUAUCAGCAGCAGCAGCAUCCCUUCGUGUCACUCUGGUGCCCAGUUCCCUUCCCAGUGAGAUGGACAAAAUGGUGCUCUGCAGGUCAUGGGCUUAGGCCAGUGAUCUUCACACGCUGAGUCACUCACCCUUGUGAGAUACAAAUCAUGGAUUCCAGGGUGCACCGGCUUCAGAAGUUGUGAUACCUGGGGUCAGUAGUUGUGGAUCCUGGACUCUAGAGCACAGGCUUGAUAACUGUGAGGCUUAGUUGCUCCGCGACAUGUGGGAUCUUCCUGGAUUGGGCAUCAAACCUGCAUCUCCUGCAUUGCCAGGCGGAUUCUUUACCACUGAGCCACCAGGGAAGCCUGACCUGCUUUCGUCUUAAAAGAAGUUCGUCAGGAACCCUCCCUCUGCAACCUGCUCCCACCCCUUUCCCAGCCAAAGACGUUCUUAGAAGGAAAAAUGAUAUAGUUCUGAAACUUUAGGUUUCAUAAAGAAAGGAAGAGCAUUAGAGAAGGAAUAAAUAAUAGUAAUAUGUCUUUUUUUAAAAUUUCAGUUGAUCCAACAGAUAGUAGUUUGCUCAAAAUACUAGUAGAACCAAGGUAUUUGGUGCUUGUAGGUCAUGCACAGUGAAAUGAAUGACAGUGAUGCUAUCAGAGAUGAGAGGGAGGGCUUGGGGAUACCCUGUUAUAAAGUGCUUGCGUUACCCAUGAGAUUGUAUAGUUGUAUCUGAAAAGGACUUGGAUGAAUAAAUGUAUAGGACAGCUGCUAAAAGAAUAAAUUAAAUAAAAAAGUGUAACUAAUAUCCUAAGAGAGUACAAAAAAUGGGAUUAUAUAAAAUGCUCAAUUAAAACAAAAAAAAAGAUUAAAAAAAUACGAGAAAAAAAAGAAACAAGAAGGGCAAUGAAUAGAAAAGAGUAACAACUAUGGCAGAUACUAAUUUGAUUAUAUCAAUAAUCACUUUAAAUGUCAAUGGUCUAAAUACACCAACUGAAAAAAACAGAUUGUGUGUCUGAGUGGAUUAAAAAAAACAAGCUCUUAUAUUUUGUUCAUAAGAAGCUCAUUUUAAACAUAGGCUGGAUAGAUUAAAAGUAAAGAUAGAUAGGUUAAAAGUAAAGAGAUGGAGAAAGACAUACCACGAUAACACCAAUCUAAAGAAAGCUGAGGUAGUAGUAUUAAUUUCAGACAAAGCAGAGCAAAGAAAUAUUAAUAUUAUUAACAUUAGUU